UGGCAGCAGGAAUUCAGGGUCAGUCUGCUGGAUGCUCUCCGUCGUUCUCCGCCCGGCCCCACCCUGUCGCGUUGGCUGCCCUGAUGGAUGACGUCAGCAGGCUCACUUGUCCUCAGGGUUUGGUUCAGUCAGGGGAAGCUACCAGCAGAGACCGAAGGACAGGAAGAGACAGUCGGGGUGUCUAUUGCCAGCCCCCUUUCUGCAGGGCCUCAGGGCAAUUUGGACACAGAGACAGACAUAGAGGGAAGACAGCCAUCGACAAGCCAGGGAGAAGGACCUGGAACAGCUCCUGCCAUCACAGCCUCAGAAGGAACCAACCCCACUGACAUUUUGGUCUCAGGCUCCCAGAAGCUAGAGCUCUGAGGAUACAUUCCUGUUGCUGAAGCAGCCCACCUUCCUGCCUCCCACCAGUGCCUCCAACCCAUUGGCUGAACGCAGCUGGAGACCAGCUGUCACGGAACCUGGGAAAUCCAGCCCAUAGGAGUCAGUUCCCUCCUCCCUGCAACCUGCCCCCACCCCAACCUCAAUGCUGAGAAAUAAACCCAAGGCCAGAGCUUCCAUGGAAGGGGAGGAGAGAGGUCUUCCCGACUGCUGAGUGGAAAAUAGUCUAAAGAACAAGAAUGCCUUCUGAGAGCCUCGCUGGGGUGCUGCAGAGGCUGUCCGGGUAACCAGGAUGGCGGCCGUGGGUAAGCAGAUGGCCAAGGACAAGGGAAGUGGCCCAAGAAAGACGAAGCCUGGUAUUCACGGGAGAACCACGCAGGACAUGCACAAAGUUCUGGAGGCUGGGGAGUCCAAGAUCAAGGUGACAGCAGAUCCGGUGUCAUAGUGUGCAGACGGCCGUCUCGCAUCCUCACGUGGCAGGAAGCUGCCAUGUGUCUUCUUAUAAGAGCACCAGUCCCGGGCAGCCCAGGUGGCUCAGUGGUUUGGCGCUGCCUUCAGCCCAGGACCUGAUCCUGGGGACCCGGGGUCGAGUCCCACGUCAGGCUUCCUGCAUGGAGCCUGCUUCUCUCUCUGCCAGUGUCU
This is a long non-coding RNA of Canis lupus familiaris (dog), 1023 nucleotides long. RefSeq lists it as uncharacterized. Lineage: Eukaryota; Metazoa; Chordata; Mammalia; Carnivora; Canidae. The transcript has 5 exons. The record is from RefSeq and is a predicted model, not a curated record.